RNAcentral lists this ribosomal RNA (587 nucleotides) under uncultured bacterium. Its description in RNAcentral is "bacterial SSU rRNA". It matches the Rfam family "Bacterial small subunit ribosomal RNA", at positions 789 to 1381 of the family's 1533-position model. The record is from RNAcentral.
GGUAGUCCACGCCGUAAACGAUGAUAACUCGUUGUUGGCGAUAUACAGUCAGCGACUAAGCGAAAGCGAUAAGUUAUCCACCUGGGGAGUACGAUCGCAAGGUUGAAACUCAAAGGAAUUGACGGGGGCCCGCACAAGCGGUGGAGCAUGUGGUUUAAUUCGAUGAUACGCGAGGAACCUUACCUGGGCUUAAAUGCAGAGUGACAGUCCCUGAAAGGGGAUUUUCUUCGGACACUUUGCAAGGUGCUGCAUGGUUGUCGUCAGCUCGUGCCGUGAGGUGUCGGGUUAAGUCCCAUAACGAGCGCAACCCCUACUCUUAGUUGCCAUCAGGUAAAGCUGGGGACUCUAAGGGAACUGCCUACGCAAGUAGAGAGGAAGGUGGGGAUGACGUCAAAUCAGCACGGCCCUUACGUCCAGGGCUACACACGUGCUACAAUGGCCGGUACAGAGGGCAGCCACCUGGUGACAGGGCGCGAAUCUCUAAAGCCGGUCUCAGUUCGGAUCGAAGUCUGCAACUCGACUUCGUGAAGCUGGAAUCGCUAGUAAUCGCGUAUCAGCAAUGACGCGGUGAAUACGUUCCCGGGCCU